CAUCAAGAAGCUAAAAGAUGUUAGCGUUAGCCUUUUAAGCUAAAAAUUGGUGCUUCCAACCACCCUUAAUGA
Callorhinchus milii (elephant shark) is the source of this 72-nucleotide non-coding RNA. The record is from Ensembl. NCBI's taxonomy places the organism in Eukaryota, Metazoa, Chordata, Chondrichthyes, Chimaeriformes, Callorhinchidae.